Parelaphostrongylus tenuis is the source of this 74-nucleotide non-coding RNA. Lineage: Eukaryota; Metazoa; Nematoda; Chromadorea; Rhabditida; Metastrongylidae. The record is from the annotation of a GenBank genome assembly.
GCGUCAGUAGCGCAACAGUUUGAGCACGCGCCUUUUGAUAAGGUCAAAUGUGGGUUCGAGUCCCACCUUAUGCA